ACAGUGACCCAGCAAGCAGGUGGCACCUUGCACACCCAGGAUCCUGAGUCCUGCACCCACAACAGCCUUGCAGGUUUGCAGGCAGGAGAGAGGCCUUCCCUGGAGAAACGUAGAGCAAGCAACUGAAUGGAGUGAUAAUUCACAGAGAAAAAAAAUUGCCAUGGUAUGGCUGCAUGCAGGCACCUGGAUUCAGGUUACUGACAUCUACAUGAGGUAUUCCUAUGGGGCUUGAAAUCUAGUCUGGAUAAGCGGUAAAAUAUUUCAACUAAGGUGCUGGCAUCAAAAUUCAGAUUGUUUGGAUAUCAAAAGUCUGAGGCUGAAUUAUAACACCAGAGAGAUAUCAUCCAGGUAUUUUUCAGAGGUCUCAGGGAGAGAUUCACCUAGACUUUCUAGACACAGAUGUGGUCAGUGUGACCACAUUACUUCCAGGACAUCAACAAUAUCUACAUAAAAAUUACCA
Vidua macroura (Pin-tailed whydah) is the source of this 460-nucleotide long non-coding RNA. RefSeq lists it as uncharacterized. NCBI's taxonomy places the organism in Eukaryota, Metazoa, Chordata, Aves, Passeriformes, Viduidae. The transcript is spliced from 3 exons. The record is from RefSeq and is a predicted model, not a curated record.